AAAUCAUUUUAACUAAUGAAAUAUAUUAUCCGCGUUUUAUCCUCAUAUAUUUUAGAUAUUUGGCUUCCACUUUGCAUAUUCGUUUGUGAUUCAGAUUUCAUAUUUAUUGAGUUGUGUUUCGUGCUUCAAUAAGCAAUUUAAAUGCCACUUUAUUAUUAAUAAAGAUUUAUGACAAAAUAAAUUACCUCUUUGUGUUUCGUAAUAUUUUUAUUGUUUGAUAAAAUCAAAUUGCAAAAUCUUCAUAAGAAAUCAAAUGAAAAGUACAUUCAGAAUAUUAAUCAAAUCUCGAAGUUUGCUUCCCACGUAAAAGAUAUUGGAUUCCAAACAAAAUUACAUUUGGCACAACAAUCUGGAUUAUCAUUAUCUUCUAUUUCAGGAUGAAACUUGUUAUUUUCCAUCCAAACCAUAAACUUGUUGUUUUCUGUGUUCCUGGAAAUUUCUUUUGGUUUUCUGGAGAGCUGAAACAUAUAAAAAAACCAUAAUAAGAGAUAUAAAUAUAUAAUAAAAGUAAACAUAUAAGCCACAUACAUAAACACAUAGUCCCAGUAAGGAUUGCAAUGACUUUAAAAACCAGGAUAUGAAACACUUUCGCAUAUUUUGGUUUCCUUGUCUCUGAGCCUCAGGUUUCAUUUUGAUGAUAUUGGUGAGAUAUGUGAUGUUCUUGAGUUUGGUGUGAGGUGUGCUUAUAUAAGAUAUAGGAUCUGUUGAGAUUGACAUAUGAUGGUAUAUUAUGUGUCAUGAAGAAUCGAUAUAUUAUGUUGUAUCGAUAAAGGAUCUGUUGGCUUUAUGAUGGUAUAUUCUAUAAAAAUAUGCUAAUCAGGUAUUUAACAUGAAUAAUCGAAAACAAAAUCGUUAAAUAUGCUGUUAUAGAUGCUGUUAUACGAUGGCAUAAUAAGGGAUAAUAAGGCUUGUUAUAACAAAUAGAGUUAGACCAAAAUAUACAAAAGUAAAAAGUCCAAACAACUUGUAUAAGUAGAUUUAUGUAGACUGCUUCUCUUUUAAUAGAAUAGAUAUAACUCGAAACUGCAAGCUCACCCUAUAAAAAUGAAUUGGAAGUUAAAACAUAUAGGACUUUAAGAUAGGAUGACUUCCAUUUUUCUAUCAAUAUCAAAUGCUAGUGAGUAAUCUACACUACACCACAAUCUCAAACUACUCGAUAAUUUGAUCAAAAUGAAUAUUAUUCGGGAUAAAUAGUAUAAAUAUUUUAUUUUUAGGAUUGUUGAGUUUACUAAAAAUCUAUUUUGGAUAGACUAGACAACAAAUAUACGAUAAAACUAGAACUCGACCCGCACGGAUGUGCGGGUAUUAAUUUUUAUUUUAUUUUUAUAAAUUAUUUAAAGAUAUUUCUAAACACAUAAUUUUUUUGGAUAUUUUUAAGUUUCUAUAAUCUAUCUAGACCCGGAAUGAUCUGAGUCCGAACCCCGUCCAAAAAUUUAUCAUAUUCGAACAAAGUUUAAUUUUAAACCUAAAAAUCUGAUACCUAGAAAACCGAUAUGUAUCUGAAAAGGUACCUAAAUGCUCAUAUAAUGUAUGUAUUUAAUUAUGAUAUAUAUAUAAUUAAUUAUUUCCAAAGAUAUAUAUAUAUUAAAAUAGGAAAUGAGAAAUAAUAUUAAAAGUUAGAUUUAUUAAUUAUUGUUUCCAUGUUUGUUUUAGUUAGAAUUUGAUUUUGGGAAUGCAUUAAUUAAAAGGAAAAGACAAAGAAUCCUAAAAAGUAGAUUAAUUAAGAACUUCAGUAGCAUACCAUUGUAAAUAACUUGCAAAAUUAAAGGAUAAUUUAAAUUUGUAUUCCUCUUUUAAUAGAUUAGAUAUCCAGCCCGAGAGAAAUGUAGGACAACCUUUUUAAAACUUAUUGUACGUUUAGAAAAACAACCAACGAGAAAAAUUGUCUCCACCAAAUAUUUAUAUCAGACUAAAAGCUAAGUACUGAACACAAAGGUAAAGUAAUUAGGGAGUGUAUUGAACCAAGGGUUUUAGAAGCUUUUAAAGUGUUUAAUGUUAACGGGACUUAAGUGAGUUUUGAAGUUAUUUGGGUGAUUUAAUGAAAUUUUAAAAAUACAAAUAAAUUUUUUUAGGCCAUUUGAUAAGAUAUCUUGUAUAGAUUUUAAAGUUGUUUAGGUGAUCUAAAACAGUAAAUACUAGUUUUGGUCAAUACAUUUUUCUUUUUUUUAACGCUUUCAUUCAAACAAUGUAAAGGUCCGAAUCCAAGUGUUCCAAAACAAAUCAGAGGAGAAAAGCUCUUCGAACAAAAGACCAAAAAAGAAACAGAAAGAUACCAAUAGGCAACAUACGCAGAAAUAAUCACAGUCCGAGUUGAUAAUAAGUUAAUUCUUUUUUAAAAUUUUAAUUUUUUCUUUCUGAUGAGCAACGGUGUUUUCUUGUCUCUUACAGUAUAUAACUCCUAAGAGCCAACCACAAUUUUAUAAUGUUUUUUUUUUUGUAAAAGGCUUUCAUAUUAAAAUGCAUAAAUGGUACAAGUAUGAGUUUUCACUCAUAAGUUUGAGAAAGUUUGCAACAAGAGGAGGGUUUUAGCACAACCCGAGUGAAGGGUUCACAAAUGAAACCUAAUAGGAAAGAAAAAAAAAAGACCAAACUAGUGAAAAUGGUUUCCUCGGCUACGUCGACCUUUUUUACCCCUUCCUCUAACAUUUGUCCAUUCCAUUUCUUGAACCUUUUGUGUUGGUUUUAUUGAUCUUCCUCCUCUAGUUAAGUUAUAACUAGAGGUUUCUCCAACCACUUCUAAACCAGUUUCUUAUCCAUAAGCAAGAGGAGUUUCCGGCUCCAUGUGGAAAUGAUGAUGGUUGGGAGUGAGAGGCGAGAGAGGAUAAUUUUAUAAUGUUUUUUGAUUCAAUAGCACAUCAUCAUCAUACUUGGAAAAAAGAAGUAAUUAACUCAUAGUUUUGUUUCAAAAAACUACCAAUGAGAUGAAGGUAUCUCUAUCUAUUAAACAAAUAAAAAUAAUAGGGAAAAGUGGAAAACUAACCUCACUAGAGAAAGGCAUCACGACAAGAACAACCGUAGAAAGAACGAACGAAGAAUGAGAAUGGUGAAAGCAAUAAAUAAAUCAAGUAAAGGUCUUAUACUUGGAAGGUUUACUUGCCGACUCGAACUCUGGGAACCACUUGUCCAUAUCUGACUGGCUGCACUGCACCUUGUUCAGUGACUCUUCGAAAUCAAACAUCGCCAUUGGAUGUUUCGAGACCAUACAUGUUCUUGAUCUCAUCCCUCAGUUCCUUUCCUCGACGCUUCUAUAUGCACAUGUUUGUCAGAGCGUCUCCACUGUAUCCUUUUUUUGCUUCUCCUAGCCAAAGCCACACCCUCAGUGUCAUUGUACUGGCCACCUGAACCGAAUACGAUUGUAGAAAUGAAUCCAUUUUGUUAGAACCGAUAACAACUGAAACGACUGAUUAAUUAAGCUAAUUAACAUUAACCGUUCUCAAAUUGAUAUGGAUAAGUACCUUUUGGGCUUUUGAAUUGUGGUAGAGGAAAUGUAUACUUGUUUCUCUAGCCUUCUCCUACUAAUUAUGAAAUGAGUGUGGGCACGAUCAUUUGCAUACUCUUGAGUGUUGCAAAGAUAUUAGAUAAUCAAUCUCAUGUAGGCGUUGUAAUAUUAGAGUUCCACAUGGGGAACAUACAAGGUUAGACAAUAUAUAACUGAUGCGGCAAUCUUUCACUCUUGAUUUAAUUUUUAUACAUGAAUUAAAUCUGUUACUAACACCAUACACUCCUUUUUUUUUCCAAGGCCGGAUUUAGGCCAAGUCUAAUGAAAUAUUAGUUUUAGCCUUCUAAAUUGUUUAGACCCUAAUUAUAGAUAUUUA
Molecule: long non-coding RNA, 3815 nt
Organism: Brassica rapa (field mustard)
Lineage: Eukaryota; Viridiplantae; Streptophyta; Magnoliopsida; Brassicales; Brassicaceae
Source: RefSeq, a predicted model, not a curated record